UGCCAGACUCCUACGGGAGGCAGCAGUGAGGAAUAUUGGUCAAUGGGCUUACGCCUGAACCAGCCAAGUCGCGUGAGGGAAGACUGCCCUAUGGGUUGUAAACCUCUUUUGUCAGGGAGCAAUUGGCGCUACGUGUAGCGUUAUCGAGAGUACCUGAAGAAAAAGCAUCGGCUAACUCCGUGCCAGCAGCCGCGGUAAUACGGAGGAUGCGAGCGUUAUCCGGAUUUAUUGGGUUUAAAGGGUGCGCAGGCGGAAUGUCAAGUCAGCGGUAAAAUUUCGGGGCUCAACCCCGGCGAGCCGUUGAAACUGGCGGGCUGGAGUUGGAGAGAAGUACGCGGAAUGCGCGGUGUAGCGGUGAAAUGCUUAGAUAUCGCGCAGAACCCCGAUUGCGAAGGCAGCGUACCGGCGCCGGACUGACGCUGAGGCACGAAAGCGUGGGUAUCGAACAGGAUUAGAUACCCGGGUA
RNAcentral lists this ribosomal RNA (466 nucleotides) under uncultured bacterium. RNAcentral's name for it is "bacterial SSU rRNA". It matches the Rfam family "Bacterial small subunit ribosomal RNA", at positions 329 to 792 of the family's 1533-position model. The record is from RNAcentral.